Gallus gallus (chicken) is the source of this 3875-nucleotide long non-coding RNA. The record is from Ensembl. Lineage: Eukaryota; Metazoa; Chordata; Aves; Galliformes; Phasianidae.
GUUUGUCCAACAUUAAGCAGAUAUUGGCAUCCUUAGGUGUGAGUCGGGAGGCAGUGAUCUCAGAUAUUGAACGAGCUAAAGCCAUGAGCAAUAUGAUAUUGAUUAGACAAUGGGUAUUGUAUUUACCCACAUAGCUUUAUUGGGUGAGGCUCAAUGUGAUGUUUUUAUUUGGGAAACUUAAGAAAGAUAAUUAAAAAUGCUGUAAGGAGAGCCCAGCAGCCUUUGUGCUUUGCCUUUUAAAGGCUGCAGAUGUCCUGUCUUCUUUCUUUAAAACGGCAUGUGCUCCCUCUCCACCUUCCAAAAGAUCAAGGGUAAUAAUAACAACAAUAAUAAUACAGUGUCCUGGAAUUUUUCUACAUGCCUCAGGAGAACUUUAAUUUUUUCCAGAAACUGUUUUCUGACAACAGCCGCCCCGUGGACUUUUCCUGUUCCCCAGAAUGCAUUUCCAGUGCUGCUGCGGCCAAGUUAAAAUGGUGUCUUUUGGAUAUAAGGCCUUUUAUGUAGAAAACCUUUCUCUUGCUGAACAAAACCCUGCCUGCAGCGUGGGGCAACCCUGACCCGGUGAGCAGGUAGUGUUGUGCACUUUGAGCCUGUGCACCACGGGCAGCCCAGUGUGGCCUUGAUGACAGAAUUCGGGAGCCUUACUCGCAUCCACAGACGGCCCAGUGCUCGAAGCAUGCACAGAGGAUGCAUCCUGUCCACCUCUUCCGCUGUUUCUCCCAUCAGUUGCAUUCCCUUUCCCCAAGGGCUUUUUUCCAUUUUUUUAACUUUAUAAUCCCACAGCAAUGCCCAGCCCAGCUGCAUUCCCAUCUUGCAUCAGAAGGCUGACUCACUGCAGCGCUCAGCUCGGUUGCAUUUCCCUUCCAUGGGACAUGGGUCCACAUGGCUGCAGACAGGGCCUGGGCCUGGCACACAGCGAGGCAUGCACCCAGCUCAGGGCUGAGGCCAGCGCCCGUGUGCCACCCUCUUUGCCUCUGCCAAGGUCUUUCAAGCUGAGGUGUGAUGGCUCAGCCUUUCUCCUCCCUCCACGGAUGGCUGCUGCUGUAACUCCCCAAGCUUUUGGCCAUGGGCUGUUUAAUAUUUUCUUCCAGCUCAGCCAUCUCCAGUCACCAGAGCUGCUGCCGGCUCUACUCCCAUGGGUGAGGCAGCUUCUCACAGCCACCACUUCCUCUGCUCUUCAACCUGAUGCUUUCCAGCUCUGCGCUUUGCAAGGGGAGGCAAAGGAGCGUGUGCCGAGCCUCCAUCUGCACCACAUCACGGGAAUACAAAAUGGCACCGAAUCCUACUUUUCCUCAUUAGAUGUGGGCAAACUUGGCUGGAGCGCAAGUGCGAAAGCUCAUCUUUCUUCAGCUGCUUGUAAUUCAUGCUUGAGCAAGAGCAUUAUUUGGGGCUUAAGUCAGAGUCUUCUAAGUAGGUCACAGUUCUUCUAGACCCAAACUCCUGCAUAUGACUUCUGAGAAAUGCAGAUCCCUGUCCUCCUGAUUAGUGAAACACCUCAGGAGCCCUCUUUUCAGUUUUAUCAGCUCCUCAAAUGAAUCCAUAAAACAAAUAGUUACUAAGAAGUUGCUUCCUGCAUAGGGUUCAGACUUGGAAAAAUUCCUCUGCCUUGGGUGGCAGCCAUUUCUGUCUCAUUUGCAUGGCUAGUUUCUUGCAUUUUAAGGAUGCUCCACUGUAGCCAGGUAAAUGGAUGCACCCCGCAACUCCUCUAGUCUUUGCAUCAACAAGAGGACAAAAAGCUACGGAGAAGGCAAGGAAGCUCCAGCCUACAGGGGCUGUGCUGGCUGAAACACAUGCAGUGCAGUCCAUGCUGUAAAACAGCAUUCAUUUUAGUGGUGCAGAGGCUGAUUUGCCAAAUCAUCACAGCAUGUGUUAGAUGUUAAUCCUAGUCUUUAGAAUAGAACUACAGCUUCAGACACACCCGGAGAUAAAAUGAGGGAAAUACAAGAGCUCAACAAGAAGCAGAGUGAAGUGGAAUGGCACAGUGCAAGGAUGUGUUAAGAGCUCUUUGAGGCACUGGUGGCAUAAGUAAGUUUUCCUGGUAUUUCUGCAGGGCAGUUCUGAAUGCCUAUAGCAGCUCACCACCUGCGUUUGAAAAUGAUAGCAUUUGCUUUUUUCAGUCAUCUAGAAAUUAAGCUUUACCUCCUCCUUCAGUAGCAGGAUGAGUCUGGACUGCAGUGACAUGAGGGAGAAGUCAGAACCAAACAUACUCUAUAUCUCUCGCCGGAGGAGAAGAGUUGCAUCUCCACAAAGGCACGCAGAUGCAGCGAUGGGACCUCAUGAUGGAUUGUUGGUGUGAGCACAUGGACGUGAAACCAUGAACAGAGGAAUUUGCACAGGCCAGCAUUUGUGUUUCAUUCUGAAAGCCCAGCAGAAUCAGACCCCUAACUCUGGCUGGUGUUAAACAUGAAGGCAGCGUGCAGCUUUUCUCUUGCAUGGGUUCCCAUGUAGUACUGCUGACCUGCCUCACUGCAGCUACCCUGUUCAGGCCCUUGCAUGCCUUCAGGCUUUCCUUCCGAGAGUGCUUCUGAUGCCAGAGGGUUUUGGCAACAGUUGUAAUGUGCAUGAUUAUUUCCAGUGAGGAAACCAUUGGUGAUAACAGCAAUGAGGAGGUAUGUGGGUAUAAGCCACAGCUUGCUGAAGGCAUGAGACCAUUAGGGUAUGUAAGGAUAGGCUCCUGAUGCUGUCAGAGAGGAAGCGGCUCUGCACGUGAAAUAAUGUAGGGAAGGGAAUAUGCUAAACAUAGUUUAACUCCUGAGCUGCUCCCUGUGAAUAAAGUGUUUCCAAAAGCCUUCAGAUUCGGCUUGAGCUAGGUGCUCAUUCAGCUAAUGAAAACGUUACAUGCCCUCUGUCUAACCAACCUGAUGUAUUUGCUAAGCACUACAGCGAAAAGAGAUGCUUUUUGGUCACUUUUGUUGCCAUGUUCCCUGAUACCAAUGUUGACGUUAUAAACUCAAGCAGUAUUUUAAGUUGCUGUGAUCUUAAAAUUUUGUUUUCUUACGCAGCUGCCCAGGCCAGCUUACAUGCUGAUCAGGAUCUGCUGCAGCCUGGGAAUAAUCAGGCACCAGCUUCUUGGGCAGGCGAGUAAAUCCUUACUGACAUCAAUGAACUGAAAAAUUCUGAGGCCUGGCAGUGACAAAGGGAAUAGUGAAUGAGAGCAGUAUUUCUUUAUAUUGAUCUACCUUUCCUCAUCUACUAAUAACACUGACUGUUUACCCCCUGUAAUAAGCUGUGAUGGGUGCUAUGUGGGUCUUUGCUUUCCAGUUCUCCAGAAUCAGUUCACACAAACCAAGAAAUCUCCCAGUAAAUGAGCUGGCUAGGACUAGAUAAAAUUAAGUGUAUUAAUAUUGUUAAAGCUUGCAGUUCAAACUCUUGUUAGACAAAUUUAGACAUUGAUUUUAUACCUAAGAAUUCCUCUAACCAAUACUUAGUGUCUUCAACUCAGUCUCCCAGAUGGGAAGAGCAGACUCCCCGGAAGAGAAGGGAAGGGAUGGGUUCCCCAAAGCCACCUGGGGAACCUGGGCAGAUGCUGAUGACUUUGUCUUGAUCCAAAUCCCUUACUUUGUGGAGGAAAUUGGAGUUGAUUCUGUUCUUUGGAUUUCUGCUUUUAAUGGUACUUCUCGAGCUAUUUCUGUGCAUCAUCAAAGGUGGCAGUGUGUGAGCAAUUAAGCCCAAAAUAAUAUAAUUUUUCAUCAGUUUCUCAAUCAAGAUUUGGUAUGCUUUAAAGAUACAGGACUGUUUCUGAGAAGCACCUAAAUACAGGAUGAUUUUAUAGCCUGAGGAAAGUGCAGAGUGUGACAAGUGGAUGCAACUGAAGUUUGUAAGAUGAUGGAAAAAACUGUAAGGAACAAGGAUUUAAGAACUCAUAGUGUGCAUCC